CCUACGGGAGGCAGCAGUGGGGGAUAUUGCACAAUGGGGGGAACCCUGAUGCAGCGACGCCGCGUGGGUGAAGAAGCGCCUCGGCGCGUAAAGCCCUGUCAGCAGGGAAGAAAAUGACGGUACCUGAAGAAGAAGCCCCGGCUAACUACGUGCCAGCAGCCGCGGUAAUACGUAGGGGGCAAGCGUUAUCCGGAUUUACUGGGUGUAACGGGGGCGCAGACGGCGAUGCAAGCCAGGAGUGAAAGCCCGGGGCCCAACCCCGGGACUGCUCUUGGAACUGCGUGGCUGGAGUGCAGGAGGGGCAGGCGGAAUUCCUGGUGUAGCGGUGAAAUGCGUAGAUAGCAGGAGGAACACCGGUGGCGAAGGCGGCCUGCUGGACUGCAACUGACGUUGAGGCCCGAAAGCGUGGGGAGCAAACAGGAUUAGAUACCCUGGUAGUC
This 440-nucleotide ribosomal RNA is filed under the name uncultured bacterium. RNAcentral describes it as "partial 16S ribosomal RNA". It matches the Rfam family "Bacterial small subunit ribosomal RNA", at positions 338 to 795 of the family's 1533-position model. The record is from RNAcentral.